GACGAACGAGGGAGGAGGGCGGAACACAUGCAAGUCGAACGGAAAGGCCCCCUUGUGGGGUACUCGAGUGGCGAACGGGUGAGUAACACGUGAGUAACCUACCCUUGACUUUGGGAUAACUUCAGGAAACUGGGGCUAAUACCGGAUAGGAGCUCCUGCUGCAUGGUGGGGGUUGGAAAGUUUCGGCGGUUGGGGAUGGACUCGCGGCUUAUCAGCUUGUUGGUGGGGUAGUGGCUCACCAAGGCUUUGACGGGUAGCCGGCCUGAGAGGGUGACCGGCCACAUUGGGACUGAGAUACGGCCCAGACUCCUACGGGAGGCAGCAGUGGGGAAUAUUGCACAAUGGGCGGAAGCCUGAUGCAGCAACGCCGCGUGCGGGAUGACGGCCUUCGGGUUGUAAACCGCUUUCGCCUGUGACGAAGCGUGAGUGACGGUAAUGGGUAAAGAAGCACCGGCUAACUACGUG
Molecule: ribosomal RNA, 465 nt
Filed under: uncultured bacterium
Lineage: Bacteria
Description: partial 16S ribosomal RNA
Rfam family: Bacterial small subunit ribosomal RNA
Source: RNAcentral